GGCCCACCGCAGGACCUGCUCUGUCAGCUCAGCGAGUGUGUCUGCGCGGGAGAAGCUUGGCGGUGGGAAGGGUGGGCAUCCCAGGGGGCUUUGCUUCUUUCCACGGUGGGCUCACACGAGUUAGCAGGACUCAUACCAGCGUGUGAACAUUUCCAGAUGGCUUGACCACUCGGAGCGUGAUAGAGCUGGAAGAGAGACACAGAAAGAGAGAGGCAAAGACACAGGCAGAUGGAGAAGCAGAUACCUCAGGGGGAGCCUGAUGCGGACUCAAUCCCAGGACCCCGGGGAUCAUGACCUGAGCUUUAUGGUAUCAUAAAGGUAACCCCUGACAGAUGAUGAGAUGGCAGGCCAGAGCUGUCCAGUGGAACCUUCCCGGUGGCGGAGCUGUACCCUGUGGUUCUGUACCCGUGCCGUACCACGUGCUGUCAGCUGGCCACCUGUGGCGAUGGCAGCUGAAAACCUGUGUCCCUGCCUUCAGUGCUUAAUCACGGAAAACCGAAUGUCCCUUGGUGUUUGGUGCUCUGUAUGGGGAACAGCUCAGCUGUGGAGACAACAAAAGAAGGCUGCCUCUAAGGGCAGUGUCAGCCACCUCCCUGCCCCACUCUCAGAGUCUCGAGGAAUGAGGAAAUUGGGAGCUCUGCGGAGAUACCCUGGCAUCCCAAAGCCCCCUGCACCCUGGAAAGUGUUUCUUAAACACCACUGAGGGGAGUGAAGACAUUCAAUGACCUACAUUAAUACUGAUGCUUAGACACAAAUGUGGGCCAGAGUUGAAGACUGUCACUGGGAACCUAAUGGCCAGCUUGAUUUCCAGAGGCUCCAUGGUCUCCUGGACAGUCCUUGCGGCUGCACAGAGAUGGGGCUUGCUGGGUUGUAUGCUCUGGACCUACCUCACUGUGGGGAGUCCUGUGCUUGGGUCCACGCGGACAGAGCAUGCGUGCACAUCCCUGGUGUGAACUACUUUCACACCACUAAGAUAUUUUUUUAGGCCCAGCAGAUGUGCGGUUAGCCCUAGAUGGUGUCUGGGGAGCCCUGGUUUGAGUAGACCUAAUUUUAGUAAGUCAAAUACAAAUUACA
This is a long non-coding RNA of Canis lupus familiaris (dog), 1074 nucleotides long. RefSeq lists it as uncharacterized. NCBI's taxonomy places the organism in Eukaryota, Metazoa, Chordata, Mammalia, Carnivora, Canidae. The transcript is spliced from 4 exons. The record is from RefSeq and is a predicted model, not a curated record.